GAUGAACGCUGGCGGCGUGCUUAACACAUGCAAGUCGAACGGGAAACCUUUUAUUGAAGCUUCGGCAGAUUUAGCUGGUUUCUAGUGGCGGACGGGUGAGUAACGCGUGGGUAACCUGCCUUAUACAGGGGGAUAACAACCAGAAAUGGUUGCUAAUACCGCAUAAGCGCACAGGACCGCAUGGUCCGGUGUGAAACACUCCGGUGGGAUAAGAUGGAGCCGCGUUGGAUUAGCUAGUUGGCAGGGUAACGGCCUACCAAGGCGACGAUCCAUAGCCGGCGUGAGAGGGUGAACGGCCACAUUGGGACUGAGACACGGCCCAGACUCGUACGGGAGGCAGCAGUGGGGAAUAUUGCACAAUGGGGGAAACCCUGAUGCAGCGACGCCGCGUGAAGGAAGAAGUAUCUCGGUAUGUAAACUUCUAUCAGCAGGGAAGAUAGUGACGGUACCUGACUAAGAAGCCCCGGCUAACUACGUG
RNAcentral lists this ribosomal RNA (478 nucleotides) under uncultured bacterium. Its description in RNAcentral is "partial 16S ribosomal RNA". It matches the Rfam family "Bacterial small subunit ribosomal RNA", at positions 28 to 507 of the family's 1533-position model. The record is from RNAcentral.